Molecule: non-coding RNA, 238 nt
Organism: Pantherophis guttatus
Lineage: Eukaryota; Metazoa; Chordata; Lepidosauria; Squamata; Colubridae
Source: RefSeq, a predicted model, not a curated record
GCGGUAGGCGAAGAGCUUGAAGCUGACUUCCACCAGGAAGAGGGAGAGGAUGGAAAGGCUCAGGUAGUGAAGGACCUGGGAGACACAGAAAAGGGGCCACAGGGUGAAUGACCUUCAGAUCCAGAAGCAGCUCUCCCAGCACCAACACAGCAUCCAAGAUCACCAGGCAAACCACCGCGAUCUGGGACGAAAAGGGAAAGCAUUCAGGUAAAAAUAAUAAAAUGUUCUUGGAAGUCCA